RNAcentral lists this ribosomal RNA (250 nucleotides) under uncultured bacterium. Its description in RNAcentral is "partial 16S ribosomal RNA". It matches the Rfam family "Bacterial small subunit ribosomal RNA", at positions 524 to 773 of the family's 1533-position model. The record is from RNAcentral.
UACGUAGAGGGCAAGCGUUGUCCGGAAUUACUGGGCGUAAAGGGUACGCAGGCGGAUAUAUAAGUCAAAUGUGAAAGGCACCGGCUCAACCGGUGAGCGGCAUUUGAAACUGUAUAUCUUGAGUUCAGGAGAGGAGAGCGGAAUUCCUGGUGUAGCGGUGGAAUGCGUAGAUAUCAGGAAGAACACCAGUGGCGAAGGCGGCUCUCUGGCCUGAAACUGACGCUCAGGUACGAAAGCUGGGGGAGCGAAC